RNAcentral lists this long non-coding RNA (975 nucleotides) under Phaseolus vulgaris (common bean). RNAcentral describes it as "long non-coding RNA (PVUL_LNC004263)". The record is from RNAcentral. Lineage: Eukaryota; Viridiplantae; Streptophyta; Magnoliopsida; Fabales; Fabaceae.
UUAGAUAGAAAAAUCCUUUUACUAGGAACUAUUUUGGAAAUUUCCAUCAUCUUUCAAUAUUAUUGAUGCCAAUGGUAUAAGUUGUUUUCCAUGUGGUCCUAGCCACUAAGCUGUCUUAUUUAUGAGUGAUUUUGUCUAGCAAUUGAAAAGGAAAUAGUACGUGGAACUUGGAGGUGGUAUGAUUUUGCCUCUGUAUGGAAUGUGUUUAAUUUUUAUAUUUAUUAGUUGGAUACCACAAUAAUGUUAUGAUAUACUCAGAGUUCACAACAUUGUUCAUCACUUGCUACAUUGGUAAAUGCUUAUUUUUUCCCUAAGAUUAUGUGUUGUUGGUCCUUGAAACAUGUAUGCAAAAUCAAAUGGUUGUUACACCGCCACCUUUUUUUUCUCUUAGUAAGUAGGUUUAUGCCUAACUCAACCUCACAAAACGAUGAUGAUUGCACCUCACUUUGAUUGAUUUGCGAUCUCCAACACAACCCUCAUGUUGAGGAAUGAAUAUCUUGAGCGUGGGAUUAGAUAUUUAUAGGUAGUCUAACAAGAGUCCCACAACAAAUUAAGAUAGUCCCUGAUAGCCCCAAAAAACUUUAUUAGGAUAGGCUUUGAUACCAUAUUAGCAAGUGAGUUUAUACCUAACUCAAUCUCACAAAACUGACUUGUAAGAUAAUGAUUGCAUCCCCAUUUAUAUAUUAUAAUUUGACCUUAUUCCUAGUCAAUGCGAGAUCUCUAACACACUCUAUAUAUUAACCCCUAAAAUGACGUCAAAUUGAUCCACGAAGAAUGAUAGGCUCUGAUACCAUCUUAGCAAGUGAGUUUAUACCUAACUCAAUCUCACAAAACUGACUUGUAAGAUAAUGAUUGCAUCCGAUUUAUAUAUUAUAAUAUGACCUUAUUCCUAGUCAAUGCGAGAUCUCUAACACACUCUCUAUAUAUUAACCCCUAAAAUGAUGUCAAAUUGAUCCACGAAGAAUGAAACUAGUG